Long non-coding RNA from Chelonia mydas (Green sea turtle), 1859 nucleotides. RefSeq lists it as uncharacterized. The record is from RefSeq and is a predicted model, not a curated record. The transcript is spliced from 4 exons. Lineage: Eukaryota; Metazoa; Chordata; Testudines; Cheloniidae.
GAAUGGCUGGAAGCAACUGAUCCAAACAUUAUUGGUCCCAAUCCUCAAUCCUUCUUAACAGCCCUUUGAGCUGCUUUUUCACUACCAGAGGGGAUCGUCAGCACUGUGGAGCUGACUAACGCAUCUCAUUUCUUUGGCUUGGGUAUGCUCCCAUCUAGAGAGGAUUUGUGAGUUGGUCAGAUAUUUUUCCCCCCCUUCACCAUUGGAGAGGCAUUCCCAAUCCAGAUCAGACUUGCGGUCCAUCUAGCCAUUAUUCUGCCUCUGACAGUGGCCAUCACCAGAUGUUUCAGGGGAAGGCGUGAGAACUCCACGAAACGUGGCGAUGAGAUAACCUGCCCCCAGGGAAAGUUUUUUUCCAGCUUCCGCCAAUGGGAGAUUCCUUCUCUUGAGAGCAGCAGUGCUAUCCUGAAGUGCUAGGCAGGUGCAAAAUGGCUGCAGAUUGUAAACCUGCGAACAGGAAAACUGGGAGUAAGGCUGUGGCAUAUGGAGCUUUAAGACAGAGAGUUUGCAUGGUUACUGCGCCUUUAAAAUUUGGAUCAUUCUGGACUGGCAGGGCUCAAAAGACAAGUCAGAAGGCAACUGUUGCAGCUGGACUUGGUUGGAGGCUGGACUCAAGAAUGACGUGACUGUGGCUGUAGCUGGCAUUUGAGUGCAGUUUUGGGAAAUUCACUGAGACAACCUCAGAUGAAACCUUUAGCAAGAGGAAUGAUAAAUAUUCAAAUGAGAUCUCAAUGAAUUUCUAAUAUCCGUGAAUGCAGCCAUAUGGGAUAUUACAAGAAGCCAGCAGAUAAGAAUGCUUUUUGAAUUCUUAUGCUGGCAUACAGUGGCGUUUGAUGUUUGAGCAGAUUUGGUUACAUUUGUACCAAUAAAUACUAAACACAGGAUGAUAUCAUUUCAUUUCCAGCCAGGGAUACCCAGUACCAGAAUAUCUCACUCAAGCAAACCAAGUGUAAUUUCAGAACUGUGAACUAAAUGUAAAACAGGGACCGGGAAUCUUUGUGGAGAUGUAGACAACUUGUGUUGGUUGGGUUCAAAGUUGAAAUAUGUGCAAGAGCCGCUGUAUAUUUUUGACUUGUGAGACCCAGAUGGUGGCUUUUUUAAUAAUUCAGAAGAAGUUAUUAAAUAUAUCAAGAAGAAGGUAGGAGAGCAACGCUGAAAGAGACCAGGACAUGCAUGAGGCUUGUUUUCUGGAGAGUUUAACUCAAGUCUGGGAGCUUAUAGAGGGGGGAUUUUCCAGACACUGCAAAUACAAAGUGGAUCGCUCAUGCUCUGCUCUGAGUGUCCUGCAGACAAAGCUCCCAAUCCUGCAAACUGCCGGGAGCUCCAGGCAUUGAGGAUAGCAAACAAACACACUAUUGAGGGUUCUGCCCUCUUCUUAAAGGCACAGUUCCCAUUUCUAUUCAGGGCACAUGGUUAACAAUGCAUCCACUAGCAAAAUACAAUGAGUACAAGUACCACAAUAAAACAAAUAUUUAAAAAACAUAAACAUUCACUUCUGAAUAUUUUCAGAUGGCAGUGAUUCCAGGCUUGUCACAUGUACAACGAGAUGUUGGUCAGAUGAAUCUGUAACUUACAAAUGUUUUACAGGUAUCCUAGUAGAAUAUGCAAUACUAUUCCUAAUUACUUAUCAAUGUGGAGGUAAUCUAGGGACAUUUUAAAGAAGUUAAGGGGCCCAUAUCUGAAUUUAAAUGUGCUAUUGUUUCUAUUGUAAAUAUGUUAGUCUAUUUUAAUGUUUCUGCUACAGCUCCUUGUAAUGUUUUCAUCUGAGUUCCCAGCAUAUAUGGCUGUUGUGUUAUAUUUCAGUAUAAGUAGGUUUUUAUCUGAUGCAUUUUAUGUAUUGAGAAAAUAAACAUUUUAAA